Long non-coding RNA from Oreochromis niloticus (Nile tilapia), 2032 nucleotides. RefSeq lists it as uncharacterized. Lineage: Eukaryota; Metazoa; Chordata; Actinopteri; Cichliformes; Cichlidae. The record is from RefSeq and is a predicted model, not a curated record. The transcript has 2 exons.
CGACUAUUGAACGGCGAAUAUUUUAAAGCAAAGGCUUUAAAACCAAGUUAACGCUGAAAGUACAAACAUCACUAAUGUCACAUAACUCUGGCAACAUUUGGCCAACAGUAGUGUUAUGAUGUUCUUCGUUAUUAAACAUCUGCACAUAAGUGACAUAAUAUUCAGUACUUACUUUUAAAAGUUUACUCUUCGGCCGCUCCGCUUCAGGCAUCCACCGUUUUUUGUUUUAUCAAAAAAAAAAAAAAAAGAUCCACACCCACCACGGCGUUAUUAAUUCUGGGAUAGUUUGGGCCGCGAAGGAUACACCUGACCCAUCCUUCAAAUUCGGGAAAAUGAAGGACACGUUUGUUGGCCACAUUUGGAGCAGCGUUCAUCGUGUUGUUGUGACGUAAUCGGCCUUCAAAUGCGGCCUCCGAAGGAUGCAGCCCCUGAAUUGGGACACAGCCAUUGUCAUCUGCUUCUUCAGGACCAGUAUAAGAGGACCAGCUGUGUCAUCCAGUCUCCGCCUCCUACUAGUGGUAACAGACAGUGGCAACUGCACUGCGUUUCCUGCUCUUACAUGUUUCUCGUUUCUAUCUGAAGAGUCUCAUGCCAUCAGUUCACACCGUCAAGAUAAGCAAGCUAGUUUGCAAAGUGAACCUACUUGGAUCACUUACCUGCAGCUUCCCACCUGACUGUUCACCCUCCAACAGAAGCACUCACCUGGAUGUCAACUUGCUCCCUGCUGCUUCCCUCUGGAAAGUUCCCUUGCGGACUCUCAAGUGGAACCCCUUCGCCCUCAAACCUGAAUGAUUCCCCUUCAAACCUGAAUGAUAACCCCACAAACCAACCCUCGCCCCUUCACCUGUUCCUAUUUGUGUAUAAGUGAAAAUUAAGUGCUGUCUCUUUUGGUUCUGCUUUAGGGUCCAUCCUAGUCGUUCAGCUGCACAGCUGUGACACAUACAUCAAUUUAUAUUCAAGCUGAUGCUAAUUAGAUUCACUCACUGAGUGCUACCUUUGAUACCUGCUUUAUAGUGUCUAGGGGCAGAAAAUCAGUUAUAUAAAUCGCCAAACAUACUUAUUUCUUAUGGUAUUCAGUUGACUAACUCCACAAAGAGCAGUGAAUAUUAGAGUAUCAGCACAGGCCAGCUGAUCACAAAGAAAAAUCUGUUGGAGCUCACAAAACAAGCUGUUGGAAAUAACUACGCCCGAUCUCAGAGUUCUCCCACCUGCAAAAUCCUUUCUUGAAUCCCUGUUUAAGAGUAAAACCAACAGUCAUGCUUUUUAACAAAUUUCUACGAUUUUUAAAAACCCAAAGUUUCUUAUUUUAGGUUUCAUUUCAUUUUAGGCCAGAACUAAAUCAUAUACUUAAGUGUUUGUUAAAAAAUUAGUUUCAAGUAAAGCCAUUAAAGCUGUACUACUAAUUACUGUUGUAUUUAUUUUAUUUUUUGUUAAUAUGUCCCAAUUAAAUGUUUCAGAUCAUCAGCAAUUACUUUUUGGCAGAGCCAAGUAGGUUUGGAUAGCUUUGCUUUCACAAGAAACCCACAUGUCUUCUGGACCUAAAUUUGUCAUGUUUGUUUCAACUGAGCAGAUUACGAUACAGUUGGUUUAGUGGAUACAACACCAGAGUGAAACUUUCAUCGAAAAAACUGUAGUAAAUAAAUUAAGUGGAUGUACUCAGGACCUCAGAGUGCUGCUGUGGUCCUGGGAAAUCACCAUAGCCCAGGGGUGGGCAACUCCAGGCCUCGAGGGCCGGUGUCCUGCAGGUUUUAGAUGUGUCCGUGAUCCAACACCGCUGAUUCAAAUGGCUCACAUACUCAAGCACAUCAACAGGAGGUGGAGCAUCUGCCUUCACUCAGCCCAACAAUAAGGAACCCUAACUGUGUGCCAAAACACCAAUUUGAGUAAAGGGCUCACGACAGUACAUGUGUAGCAUAAAUUUCAAGGUUUGGUGGACUCACUCUACUGCUCCUUGGCUCUCAGAGUGAAAAGCACCAGAAACUUUACGCUUUGCAGUGAUAACAUCAAGCCAGUAAAUCCACUCAAUAUAAUA